This 460-nucleotide ribosomal RNA is filed under the name uncultured bacterium. Its description in RNAcentral is "partial 16S ribosomal RNA". It matches the Rfam family "Bacterial small subunit ribosomal RNA", at positions 338 to 795 of the family's 1533-position model. The record is from RNAcentral.
CCUACGGGGGGCAACAGUGAGGAAUAUUGGUCAAUGGACGAGAGUCUGAACCAGCCAAGUAGCGUGAAGGAUGACUGCCCUAUGGGUUGUAAACUUCUUUUAUAUGGGAAUAAAAUGUUCCACGUGUGGGAUUUUGUAUGUACCAUAUGAAUAAGGAUCGGCUAACUCCGUGCCAGCAGCCGCGGUAAUACGGAGGAUCCGAGCGUUAUCCGGAUUUAUUGGGGUUAAAGGGUGCGUAGGUGGAUUGUUAAGUCAGUUGUGAAAGUUUGCGGCUCAACCGGAAAAUUGCAGUUGAAACUGGCAGUCUUGAGUACAGGAGAGGUGGGCGGAAUUCGUGGUGUAGCGGUGAAAUGCUUAGAUAUCACGAAGAACUCCGAUUGCGAAGGCAGUUCACUGGACUGCAACUGACACUGAGGCUCGAAAGUGUGGGUAUCAAACAGGAUUAGAUACCCCUGUAGUC